RNAcentral lists this ribosomal RNA (252 nucleotides) under uncultured bacterium. RNAcentral's name for it is "partial 16S ribosomal RNA". It matches the Rfam family "Bacterial small subunit ribosomal RNA", at positions 524 to 776 of the family's 1533-position model. The record is from RNAcentral.
UACGAAGGGGGCUAGCGUUGUUCGGAUUUACUGGGCGUAAAGCGCACGUAGGCGGUUUGUUAAGUCAGGGGUGAAAUCCCACAGCUCAACUGUGGAACUGCCUUUGAUACUGGCAGCUAGAGUCCGGAAGAGGUAAGUGGAACUCCUAGUGUAGAGGUGGAAUUCGUAGAUAUUAGGAAGAACACCAGUGGCGAAGGCGGCUUACUGGUCCGGAACUGACGCUGAGGUGCGAAAGCGUGGGGAGCAAACAGG